AUUCAAAGUAGAUUUUAAAACGACCUUGUGGCUUGGAAUCUCUUUUUCUGCUACUCGUCUCUGCUGGUGCUGGACUGGUCUCUCUGCUGACUGAGGAGUCAAUACUACUUCUGCUGCUCCUGCUUCUUUGGAAACUGGUAUAUACUGAUGUAGUUGACUCUGGAGACCUCGUUGAACUACUUGAAUGGAAUUGCACCAAAAUUGAAGUUUUACACAAGUUGUCUUAUUUCUGAAAGCCUGUUGAGUUCAGAAAAAGCUCAAAAGCAGGAUCUGCUAUAGUGUCCUCACAGCAUGGAAGCCUCCUCUCCAUUUCCAUUGCUCACUGAACCUGAAGAAUGUUUUUAACUCCACAAUACCUGGGAAGCAACAAGAUCUGAAGAAAGAUUGUCUUUGUAGGACAAGGUAGUUUGCUGUUGUAGUGAGGUCUGAAGUACAUCUUCUAGGAAAAUGAAGCAAAUGGAGAGUGUUCUAAGAAGAAUAGAUUUCAUCCUGGAAAGUCACUUACAUUUUCCUCUGGGACUGGUGGUGUGCAGAAGCUAACAGAGAUGAUGACAGCAGCUGUGAGUACACACAGGAUGAUGGCAAAAUACAGAUAGUGCAAGUCCUUCAACACAGCUGGCCUUUGGUCCUCCUCACCACAGGCAGGCACUCUGUAGAUAAACUCCAACACCAUCCGAAUGAAACCAACUGCUAGUCCAAACAUCAAGCCCCAAAAAGCACCCUGGGUAGAGAACAUGGGGAGAGAUGUGGUGAAAUGAGUAGAAAUGUUGGGAAUAUUAACUUGUUUACACAUGUCUUCACUAGAUUGUCUCAAUAUGGAAAUUGUAUUGUAAAAUAGAGUGUCAGAACUGGUAAAUGUCUGUACAAAUCUCAACCUAGCCCCAUAGGUUUU
Molecule: long non-coding RNA, 892 nt
Organism: Hemicordylus capensis (graceful crag lizard)
Lineage: Eukaryota; Metazoa; Chordata; Lepidosauria; Squamata; Cordylidae
Exons: 4
Source: RefSeq, a predicted model, not a curated record